ACUUGAGCACUCUGUGAUUGGCGGGUCCAGGGAACCUCUCCGAGAAGCUAUUGGUCGCUCUUUCUGCCUAUUUCCUUGCAGCUGGCUGCAAAGGGUAGGUCACUGGGCUGGGGAACCAGUUCACUCUCCUCCCCCUCCACCCAUACACAUCGACCACAUUCCUGAAAAGCCAUGUGAUCCACCUCAUUGACUCCUUUUUGCACAGCUGUGGGAGGAAGAAGCGGGUUAGCUACGGCUCCAUCUUCCUGGGACAGAGCCCCCAGAUGUGGCCUUGCUUCCCCACAUUCAAAUCGUAGUGGAGGAUUUCAUACUAUAAAUGUGUAAACUGCAACAUAUCUAUGGUUUAAUAGAUAGAUUCUAGAGAAUUUUCUCUAUGACUGAGACUUGGCCAGAAUUCCACAACAGCUAGCAGCCUUCUUACCCUGGAGAUGGCCAGCCUGAAGUCUUCUAUUCUAACUGGUGUGAAGGCCUGGCCCUGUUCAUCAUUUCGUGAAAUAUCCAAAUCAUGCUCACUUCACUUGAGUCUUCACUGUGGGCUUGCCUACAGCUUUGCCCUUCUAUAUGUAUUUUCCUCUUACCUUUUACCCCCUUCUUGAUCCUUAUGAGUUACCUUCUUUGUUUAUA
Sarcophilus harrisii (Tasmanian devil) is the source of this 624-nucleotide long non-coding RNA. RefSeq lists it as uncharacterized. The record is from RefSeq and is a predicted model, not a curated record. Lineage: Eukaryota; Metazoa; Chordata; Mammalia; Dasyuromorphia; Dasyuridae. The transcript is spliced from 3 exons.